UUGGGGGGUGGGGGCCUAGGGGAGGGAUAGUAUUAGGAGGAAUACCUAAUGUAGACGACAAGUUGAUGGCGGCAGCAAACCGUCAUGGAACGUGUAUACCUACGUAACAAACCUGCAAGUGAUCUCUUAUGGUUAUCGCAUGUUCUUCGUCUUUAGUGCAAUAUUGUAAACCUUGAAUAACACCAUAGGUAGGAACCAUAUAAAGUGCUACUAGUGAUGUUGGAAUUUCUUCCAAGAAGCAGAGAAAAGUCAUGACAUUACAAGAAAAAUAUGAAUUGCUUGAUGUGUACCAUAGACUGAGGUCUGCAUCUGUAGUUGCCCACCAUUUCAAGAUAAAUGAAUCCAGCAUCAGGACCAUUGUUAAAAAGAAAAGGAAAUUUGUGAAGCCAUUGCUGCAGCUACGCUAGCGGGCACAAAAAUCUUUUUGUGAAAUACAUUUUUAUUUCCUAUUGAAAAUGCAGCUUUUAUGUGGGUACAGGAUUGCUAUCAAAAAGGCUACAGACUCUCAUAUGAUUUGAAAAACAGGGAAGUUAUUAAAUGACAACAUAGAGCAAAGGGAAAGUGAAGGGUCUAAAGCUGGAUAAUUCAAUGCCAGCAUAAGAUGCUUUGAUAAUUUUAGAGGUUUGACUUAAAAAAAAAAAAAAAGUCAAGAUAAUAGAAGAAACAGCUUCUGCUGACCAAGAGGCACCAGCCAAGUUCCCAGGUGCCAAUAAAAAAAUCAUGGAGAAGAAAGGAUAUCUUCUCAAACAGGUUUUAAAUACAAACAGAAGUACCCUCAUCUGGAAAAAAAAAAUGCCACAAACGAAAUAAUCUGCACACCAAACCCCUAUGACACACAAAAUACCUAUAUAACAAACCUGCACACAAGUACCCUUGAACCUAAAAGUUAAAAAAAAAAGAGCCACAAAAGACAUCAAUUAGUAAGAGAAGUGAGCAUGAUUUAAGGCAGGAAGGGAUAGGUUAACUCUACUGUUUUGUGCAAAUGCAAUUAGAUUUAUGAUCAGGACUGCCCUUAUCUAUAAGGCUGCUAACCCCUGAGCCUGGAAGGGAAAAGAUAAAUACGAGUUGCCAGUCUUCUGGUUUACAACAAAAAGGCUUGGACAAGACCCCUUUGUCUGGAUUGGUUCCAUCAAUGCUUUGUCUCUAAGGUCAAGAAGUAUCUUGCAAAUAAGGAACUGUCUUUUAUAGUUCUUUUGAUAUUAGACAAUGCCCAGGUCACCCAGAAACCCAAGAGUUCAACAUUGAAGGUAUCAAAGUGGUCUGCUUUCCCCCAAACAGAAGGCUUCUAAUUCAGCCUCUAGGGUCAGGGGAUCAUGAAGACCUUUAAGGCUCAUUAUACAUGAUACUCUAUGGAAAAAAUUUUCAAAGCUAUGCAAGAGAACACUGAUAGAACAUCAUGAAAUUCUAGAAUGAUUACACCAUUGAAGACAAUAUCAUUGUUAUAGAAAAAGCUGUGAAAGCCAUCAAGCCUGAAACAAUAAAUUUGUGCUGAAAAAAACUGUGUCCAGAUAUCAUGCAUGAAUUCAUAAGAUUUACGACAGAGCCAAUCAAGGAAAUCAUGAAAGAGAUUGUGAAUGUGGCAAAAAAGGUGGGGCAGGUGGAGUGAAGGGUUUCAAGACAGGGAUCUUGGAGAAAUUCAAAAGCUAACAGACAUCACACCAGAGGAAUUAACAGAAGACAGCUUGAUGGAGAUGAAUGCUUCUGAGCCACAGUGCCAGACGAUGAGGAAGAUGGAGAAGCAUCAGUAUCAGAAAACACAUUGACAUUAGACAAUCUGGCAGAAGGGUUCUGAUCAUUCAAGGUUGCUUUUGACUUCUUUUAUAACAUGGACCUUUCUAUGAUACACACACUAAAACUAAAGCAAAUGGUAGAAGAUUGGUACUGUAUAGACAUAUUUUUAGAGAAACUGAGCCAGGAGAAUAGGGCCUGGAGGCAGGGAACUUAAGGCCAAUUCGCACUGACUUCCUAGACUGAAUCAAAAGGAAAACCCCAACUUUCCACGCCCAAGUAACAAAAGGAUCAGAGGCUCUCCCUUUGCAGCUCCUCUGCUUCUGUGUCACAGAUGAAAAAUGGCAAGUACUUCUGGUCCCCUCCUGCAACCAAUCAGACUGGUCACAAGCCUAGUCUUUGCGCAGGGUUACAACUUUGUAACUUCACUUCACCUUCCACAACCAAUCAGAUGUUUGCAUAGGGUGUAACUCUGUAACUUCACUUCAGCCUCUGAUUGGUCACCCAGCAACUAAUCAGACUGGCUGCAGACCACUACCUCAUUUAAAUAGGGUGUAAACCAAGUAACCAAUGGGAAACCUCUAGAGGGUAUUUAAACCCCAGAAAAUUCUCUAACCAGCACUCUUGAGCCACUUGCUUGAGCCUGCUCCCACUCUGUGAAGUGUACUUUCAUUUCAACAAAUCUGUGCUUUUGUUGCUUCAUCCUUUCAUUGAUUUGCACGUUUUAUCCAAUUCUUUGUCAAACAACUCAGAGUCAAGACCCUCCACUGGUAACAAAAUGAGUAAGUAAGAAAGUCAGACAGAAAUUACAAUGUAUUUCCAUAAAGUUACAAUGAGUAUGCCUUCUUCUUCUAUACCUCUUCCACCUGUGCCAACCCCUCUGCUUCCUCCUCCUCAACCUACUCAACCUGAAGACAAUGAGGAUGAAGUCUUUAAUGAUGAUCCACUUCCAUUUAAAGAACAGAAAAUCCAUAGGACCAUAAUUUGCAAUGGCUUUAGAUUUUGCUACUACAGAAAAUUCAAUACAAUUUGUAGCUGACACUAUUGUUUCUUUGGACACUGCCACCAUAUGCAUGAAAGAAAUUUCUCAAGGGAACAGAACACAUGAUGUUUGCAGGAGGAGCUAAUGGUUAGUUUGCAGGCAUCCCAAACAGUGGACGACAUGCUGGGCUUAGGUCUCCUCUUUGCCUUAUUUAGGCAAACACCUAGCUGUAACCCAUCAAGUUAUUCCUGUACUCUACACACCAAAACCUAACUCAGGAGUGUAUUUUUAUAACAAAUAGCCAAGUCUGGCCAAUCACAAACAGCCAAGCCUCAGCCCAUCGGACAAGGCAGCCUUAGAUCUCCUUAGAUCAGACCAUACCUAUGGGACAUCAGGCAGCCUUAGGUCUCCUCUUUGCCUUAUUUAGGCAAACACCUAGCUGUAACCCAUCAAGUUAUUCCUGUACUCUACUUCUGUGUUCAGCUGAUAAAAGCACACUUUCCUUGCUGUAGAGCGGAGGUCUCUGAACCCCUUUCAGUUUACAAUGCUACCUAACUCAUUAAUCAUUCUUUGCCCAAAGAAACUCUGUCAAAUUUAACUUGUCUAAAGUUU
RNAcentral lists this long non-coding RNA (3322 nucleotides) under Homo sapiens (human). RNAcentral describes it as "HSALNT0370235". Lineage: Eukaryota; Metazoa; Chordata; Mammalia; Primates; Hominidae. The record is from RNAcentral.